RNAcentral lists this ribosomal RNA (450 nucleotides) under uncultured Glomeromycotina. Its description in RNAcentral is "SSU rRNA". It matches the Rfam family "Eukaryotic small subunit ribosomal RNA", at positions 569 to 1023 of the family's 1831-position model. The record is from RNAcentral. Lineage: Eukaryota; Fungi; Glomeromycota.
AGCAGCCGCGGUAAUUCCAGCUCCAAUAGCGUAUAUUAAAGUUGUUGCAGUUAAAAAGCUCGUAGUUGAAUUUCGGGGUUAGUAGGCUGGUCGUGCCACCGGUACGUACUGGUCUUACUGAUUCCUCCUUCCUGAUGAACUGUAAUGCCAUUAAUUUGGUGUUGCAGGGAAUCUGGACUGUUACUUUGAAAAAAUUAGAGUGUUUAAAGCAGGCUAACGCUUGAAUACAUUAGCAUGGAAUAAUGAAAUAGGACGUUCGAUCCUAUUUUGUUGGUUUCUAGGAUUUGACGUAAUGAUUAAUAGGGAUAGUUGGGGGCAUUAGUAUUCAAUUGUCAGAGGUGAAAUUCUUGGAUUUAUUGAAGACUAACUACUGCGAAAGCAUUUGCCAAGGAUGUUUUCAUUAAUCAAGAACGAAAGUUAGGGAUCGAAGACGAUCAGAUACCGUCGUAG